GACGAACGCUGGCGGCGUGCUUAACACAUGCAAGUCGAACGGAAAGGCCCUGCUUUUGUGGGGUGCUCGAGUGGCGAAGGGGUGAGUAACACGUGAGUAACCUGCCCUUGUCUUUGGGAUAAAUUCAGGAAACUGGGGAUAAUACCGGAUAGGAGCUCCUGCUGCAUGGUGGGGGAUGGAAAGUUUCGGCGGUUGGGGAUGGACUCGCGGCUUAUCAGCUUGUUGGUGGGGUAGUGGCUUACCAAGGCUUUGACGGGUAGCCGGCCUGAGAGGGUGACCAGCCACAUUGGGACUGCGGUACGGCCCAGAAUGCUACGGGAGGCAGCAGCGGGGAAUAUUGCACAAUGGGCGGAAGCCUGAUGCAGCAACGCCGCGUGCGGGAUGACGGCCUUCGGGUUGUAAACCACUUUCGCCUGUGACGAAGCGGGAGUGACGGUAAUUGGUAAGGAAGCACCGGCUAACUACGUG
Molecule: ribosomal RNA, 468 nt
Filed under: uncultured bacterium
Lineage: Bacteria
Description: partial 16S ribosomal RNA
Rfam family: Bacterial small subunit ribosomal RNA
Source: RNAcentral